GAUGAACGCUGGCGGCGUGCCUAAUACAUGCAAGUCGAGCGAACGGACAAGAAGCUUGCUUCUCUGAUGUUAGCGGCGGACGGGUGAGUAACACGUGGAUAACCUACCUAUAAGACUGGGAUAACUUCGGGAAACCGUAGCUAAUACCGGAUAAUAUUUUGAACCGCAUGGUUCAAAAGUGAAAGACGGUCUUGCUGUCACUUAUAGAUGGAUCCGCGCUGCAUUAGCUAGUUGGUAAGGUAACGGCUUACCAAGGCAACGAUGCAUAGCCGACCUGAGAGGGUGAUAGGCCACACUGGAACUGAGACACGGUCCAGACUCCUACGGGAGGCAGCAGUAGGGAAUCUUCCGCAAUGGGCGAAAGCCUGACGGAGCAACGCCGCGUGAGUGAUGAAGGUCUUCGGAUCGUAAAACUCUGUUAUUAGGGAAGAACAUAUGUGUAAGUAACUGUGCACAUCUUGACGGUACCUAAUCAGAAAGCCACGGCUAACUACGUG
RNAcentral lists this ribosomal RNA (497 nucleotides) under uncultured bacterium. Its description in RNAcentral is "partial 16S ribosomal RNA". It matches the Rfam family "Bacterial small subunit ribosomal RNA", at positions 28 to 507 of the family's 1533-position model. The record is from RNAcentral.